This is a long non-coding RNA of Cyprinus carpio carpio, 997 nucleotides long. The record is from Ensembl. Lineage: Eukaryota; Metazoa; Chordata; Actinopteri; Cypriniformes; Cyprinidae.
CACGCAUUUCCAAUCGUCGCUGGUGAAAUCCAUGAAGACGUCGCCAUUAUCCUCGUGUGGCUUUGAAAGGAGGACCGAAGUCUCCAAAAAUCAGUGCAUGUGAUGCUGCUGAAAGACUUGUAAUCUUUCAUAAGUCAUGCUGCAGUUUGGAGGAGCACCUCAACAACAUCCAGCAUCAGCAUCCCUACCUCCUUGCUGUUGGACGCCAGAAAAGCAAGACUGAGUGCUUCUACAUCAUCUUGGAUAAGCAUCUCAUCCCAUGCCAGGCAAACCGCUCCCUUGGAGCAUUUGAUGAACUUUUCAAGGCACAUUUUGUGUUCAAUUUAUCCUAUGAUAGUGCACUUCUAAACUUUUACACAUUCCUGCAGACAACAGUGUAUAACAUUGAUGUAGGUAAGAUGAAGGAGUCUCCCAGGGUUAGAGAUUUGAGAGCCAGACUGCUCAACCAGACAGUAACCUUAACUUAAAGUCGGGCAGUAUGAUGUUGACAGAAUGCUGAUCUGUUUUAUUUGUCAAAAAGAGCACCCAGAGAGUCAACAGUUGAUUUCCCAUUUAAGAGGUGAACAUAGUUAUUAUCCUGGAUCUAAGUUCAAAUUAAUUUGUUCUCAGCAAGGUUGUAGGCAUCAGUUCCAAACAUAUGCAGGUUUUCGUAAGCACCUUAAUAGUGUUCAUAGCAGCAUUCAGCUGAUUGCUCCAACUUCAACUGUUGGAUGUUCCUCAAGUGAGCCAGUUGCAAGCUCAUCUCAUGCUUUGGAGGACCUUAUGAAUCCCCAGCAUUUAUCUCCUUGUUCCAGUGCUUUAUCUGAUAACAAUGAUUCAGGGCUUACUAAAAAUUCAACUAAAGAAUUGUGUGAAUCCAUUGUGGCCAAAAUACAAGCAAGUGGGAUUUCAAACAGUUUGGUGUCCUCAAUUGUCGGAGAUUUAGAGGAGCUAACAGAUGAGCUUAACUCUCAGGCAAAGCAUAACAUACUUUCUGCUUUGCCUACAAAUGACCCCC